CGACGAUGACGACGAGAACGAGGACGAGGAGUUCAGCACACCAUCCCCCUCUUCCUCCUCGUCAACCACGAGCAAUUAGCCUACGUCAGGACCUCAAAACAAAAUCCAUUCUUCAAAAACAAAAAAAGGAAAAGAAAAAUCUAGAUACCUAAAAAAAGGAAAAGAAAAAUCUAGAUACCUGUGAUGUGGUGGUUUUUUUUGCUAGUUUGUCCUAAGGGGAGGGCGGGGCCCACUUUGUAAAUACAAAAGGUUAUCACUUUGAAAAUGUUUAGUGUGUGACGAUGAAAUGUAAGUAUAUAUACGUACCAUAUACGUCCAUACCAG
Molecule: long non-coding RNA, 324 nt
Filed under: Sorghum bicolor (sorghum)
Lineage: Eukaryota; Viridiplantae; Streptophyta; Magnoliopsida; Poales; Poaceae
Description: long non-coding RNA (SBIC_LNC018373)
Source: RNAcentral